CCCAAACGUAGCCGACAUUGUUCCUAAUGGAGUAGCAUUCCUACAAAAGACACUUAAGUAGGACUCGAUCAACCUAAACAAAAUGUAAAAUAUAUGAAUUAAAAAGCAGGAGCUAGGUUGUCUCUCAGAAGUGCUAAGUUUAAAACCUUCAGCCAGACUAAACUUUCAUACAGGGUCAACCAAUAUAAAUAGGCUCAUGGAGAACCAUAGCCUCCUCUACAACUUCAGUGGACAAUUUCAAUUAAAACAUAAUAAGGUAUAUGGAAAUGAAGGCACCUGAAGAUUGAAGUUUCUUUAUUUAGCUCUCUCCAAACGAAGCCGACAUUGUUCCUAAUGGAGUAGCAUUCCUACAAAAGACAGUUAAGUAGGACUCGAUCAACCUAAACAAAAUGUAAAAUAUAUGAAUUAAAAAGCAGGAGCUAGGUUGUCUCUCAGAAGUGCUAAGUUUAAAACCUUCAGCCAGACUAAACUUUCAUAUAGGGUCAACCAAUAUAAAUAGGCUCAUGGAGAACCAUAGCCUCCUCUACAACUUCAGUGGGCAAUUUCAAAAAUGGUUUUAGUCAUUAUCCAUGAAUUUUAAAAACUACUCCAGUGCUUGGAUUCUCAAUUUCCACGGCCCCAUACAAGAAUCUCUUUCACUAAAAAGAGCCUAGUCCAUCUAGACCUAAGUUUCUCAGGAAAUAGGUGUAGCCUAG
RNAcentral lists this long non-coding RNA (695 nucleotides) under Elaeis guineensis (African oil palm). Its description in RNAcentral is "long non-coding RNA (EGUI_LNC045052)". The record is from RNAcentral. Lineage: Eukaryota; Viridiplantae; Streptophyta; Magnoliopsida; Arecales; Arecaceae.